UACAGAGGUGGCAAGCGUUGUUCGGAAUUACUGGGCGUAAAGGGCGCGUAGGCGGUCCGAUAAGUCCCGUGUGAAAUCCCUCGGCUCAACUGAGGAAUGGCACGGGAAACUGCCGGGCUUGAGUUCGGGAGAGGGAAGCGGAACUCCGAGUGUAGCGGUGAAAUGCGUAGAUAUCCGGAGGAACACCGGUGGCGAAGGCGGCUUCCUGGACCGACACUGACGCUGAGGCGCGAAAGCUAGGGGAGCAAACGGG
Molecule: ribosomal RNA, 253 nt
Filed under: uncultured bacterium
Lineage: Bacteria
Description: partial 16S ribosomal RNA
Rfam family: Bacterial small subunit ribosomal RNA
Source: RNAcentral